This 253-nucleotide ribosomal RNA is filed under the name uncultured bacterium. RNAcentral's name for it is "partial 16S ribosomal RNA". It matches the Rfam family "Bacterial small subunit ribosomal RNA", at positions 524 to 776 of the family's 1533-position model. The record is from RNAcentral.
UACGGAGGAUUCAAGCGUUAUCCGGAUUUAUUGGGUUUAAAGGGUGCGUAGGCGGUCUGAUAAGUUAGAGGUGAAAUCCCGGGGCUUAACUCCGGAAUUGCCUCUGAUACUGUUGGGCUAGAUAGUAGUUGCGGUAGGCGGAAUGUAUGGUGUAGCGGUGAAAUGCUUAGAGAUCAUACAGAACACCGAUUGCGAAGGCAGCUUACCAAACUAUAUCUGACGUUGAGGCACGAAAGCGUGGGGAGCAAACAGG